AGUGAACGCUGGCGGUAGGCCUAACACAUGCAAGUCGAACGGCAGCACAGUAAGAGCUUGCUCUUACGGGUGGCGAGUGGCGGACGGGUGAGGAAUACAUCGGAAUCUACUUUUUCGUGGGGGAUAACGUAGGGAAACUUACGCUAAUACCGCAUACGACCUACGGGUGAAAGCAGGGGAUCUUCGGACCUUGCGCGAUUGAAUGAGCCGAUGUCGGAUUAGCUAGUUGGCGGGGUAAAGGCCCACCAAGGCGACGAUCCGUAGCUGGUCUGAGAGGAUGUUCAGCCACACUGGAACUGAGACACGGUCCAGACUCCUACGGGAGGCAGCAGUGGGGAAUAUUGGACAAUGGGCGCAAGCCUGAUCCAGCCAUACCGCGUGGGUGAAGAAGGCCUUCGGGUUGUAAAGCCCUUUUGUUGGGAAAGAAAAGCAGCAGGUUAAUACCCCGCUGUUCUGACGGUACCCAAAGAAUAAGCACCGGCUAACCUCGUG
Molecule: ribosomal RNA, 492 nt
Filed under: uncultured bacterium
Lineage: Bacteria
Description: partial 16S ribosomal RNA
Rfam family: Bacterial small subunit ribosomal RNA
Source: RNAcentral